Molecule: non-coding RNA, 80 nt
Organism: Serratia liquefaciens ATCC 27592
Lineage: Bacteria; Pseudomonadati; Pseudomonadota; Gammaproteobacteria; Enterobacterales; Yersiniaceae
Source: Rfam
GGUACGGCCGGACGCCUGCGCUUUAAUGCGUGGGGCCCUGUGGCAGGGGCGUGCCAUUGAUAACCCGUAAGUAAUGGAGA